Molecule: ribosomal RNA, 216 nt
Filed under: Glomeromycotina sp.
Lineage: Eukaryota; Fungi; Glomeromycota
Description: partial small subunit ribosomal RNA
Rfam family: Eukaryotic small subunit ribosomal RNA (bases 75-216)
Source: RNAcentral
GGGUCAGUAGGUUGGUCGUGCCACCGGUACGUACUGGUCUCACUGAUUCCUCCUCCCUGAAGAACCGUAAUGCCAUUAAUUUGGUGUUGCGGGGAAACAGGACUGUUACUUUGAAAAAAUUAGAGUGUUUAUAGCAAGCUAACGCUUGAAUACAUUAGCAUGGAAUAAUGAAAUAGGACGAUCGAUCCUAUUUUGUUGGUUUCUAGGAUUGACGUA